This 433-nucleotide long non-coding RNA is filed under the name Androctonus crassicauda. Lineage: Eukaryota; Metazoa; Arthropoda; Arachnida; Scorpiones; Buthidae. The record is from RNAcentral.
GCUAGCUGUGCUGGUUUUGGAAUAGCAGCCUCACACUGGCAUAUGGACUGUUCUGUAGAUUAAUGCAAGUGGGGCUGUCUUUAAUUUAACUUAUUGCUAGAAAAUAGGGUUUUAAGAUGAAAAGAAAACUUAAAACGGAAUGGCCCUCAUUCAAUAGGUUCUGUGGUUCCAGUAAGGAUUUUUAUGUACAUAUGCUCUCGUCUUUUAAGUUUUGGGUACUUCCUAGCUCAUCUGUUUUAGCUGUGCAUUUUGUUUUUCAGGGUGUACUCUUAGCAGACAUGGAAUAUUAAAUCCCAAGCUGAUAGAACGUAAGGUCUGUUUAUGGUUUAGGCCAUGCCAGUUUUCAGAUUAGUUGACAGUAUUAACACUAAAUUGCAGUUUACAGUAUUUCUACAUUACAGCCAUAUGUUAACAUCAAGCCAUUGAUUGUGUG